RNAcentral lists this ribosomal RNA (497 nucleotides) under uncultured bacterium. Its description in RNAcentral is "partial 16S ribosomal RNA". It matches the Rfam family "Bacterial small subunit ribosomal RNA", at positions 28 to 507 of the family's 1533-position model. The record is from RNAcentral.
GAUGAACGCUGGCGGCGUGCCUAAUACAUGCAAGUCGAGCGAACAGACGAGGAGCUUGCUCCUCUGAUGUUAGCGGCGGACGGGUGAGUAACACGUGGAUAACCUACCUAUAAGACUGGGAUAACUUCGGGAAACCGGAGCUAAUACCGGAUAACAUGUUGAACCGCAUGGUUCAACAGUGAAAGACGGUCUUGCUGUCACUUAUAGAUGGAUCCGCGCCGCAUUAGCUAGUUGGUAAGGUAACGGCUUACCAAGGCAACGAUGCGUAGCCGACCUGAGAGAGUGAUCGGCCACAGUGGAACUGAGACACGGUCCAGACUCCUACGGGAGGCAGCAGUAGGGAAUCUUCCGCAAUGGGCGAGAGCCUGACGGAGCAGCGCCGCGUGAGUGAAGAAGGUCUUCGGAUCGUAAAACUCUGUUAUUAGGGAAGAACAAAUGUGUAAGUAACUAUGCACGUCUUGACGGUACCUAAUCAGAAAGCCACGGCUAACUACGUG